Molecule: ribosomal RNA, 145 nt
Filed under: uncultured Bacteroidota bacterium
Lineage: Bacteria; Pseudomonadati; Bacteroidota
Description: uncultured Bacteroidetes bacterium partial 16S ribosomal RNA
Rfam family: Bacterial small subunit ribosomal RNA
Source: RNAcentral
AGACUCCUACGGGAGGCAGCAGUGAGGAAUAUUGGGCAAUGGAGGAAACUCUGACCCAGCCAUGCCGCGUGCAGGAUGACUGCCCUAUGGGUUGUAAACUGCUUUUAUAUAGGAAGAAACACUGAUGNUAGNAGCUGACGGUACU